RNAcentral lists this ribosomal RNA (117 nucleotides) under Mus musculus (house mouse). Lineage: Eukaryota; Metazoa; Chordata; Mammalia; Rodentia; Muridae. The record is from RNAcentral.
AUCUACAGCCAUACCACCCUGAACGCGCCCCAUCUCGUCUGAUCUUAGAAGCUAAGCAGGGUCGGGCCUGGUUAGUACUUGGAUGGGAGGAAUAGUAAAACUCAUGUAAACUAGAAG